GAUCCUGGCUCAGAUUGAACGCUGGCGGAAUGCUUUACACAUGCAAGUCGAACGGCAGCACGGGAGCUUGCUCCUGGUGGCGAGUGGCGAACGGGUGAGUAACGCGUCGGAACGUACCGAGUAAUGGGGGAUAACGCAGCGAAAGCUGUGCUAAUACCGCAUAAGCCCUGAGGGGGAAAGCAGGGGAUCGCAAGACCUUGCGCGAAUGGAGCGGCCGAUGUCAGAUUAGCUAGUUGGUGGGGUAAAGGCCUACCAAGGCGACGAUCUGUAGCGGGUCUGAGAGGAUGAUCCGCCACACUGGGACUGAGACACGGCCCAGACUCCUACGGGAGGCAGCAGUGGGGAAUUUUGGACAAUGGGCGCAAGCCUGAUCCAGCCAUGCCGCGUGCGGGACGAAGGCCUUCGGGUUGUAAACCGCUUUCAGCCGGAAAGAAAUCGCCAAGGCUAAUAUCCUUGGUGGAUGACGGUACCGGAAGAAGAAGCACCGGCUAACUACGUG
RNAcentral lists this ribosomal RNA (499 nucleotides) under uncultured bacterium. RNAcentral's name for it is "bacterial SSU rRNA". It matches the Rfam family "Bacterial small subunit ribosomal RNA", at positions 15 to 507 of the family's 1533-position model. The record is from RNAcentral.